Molecule: non-coding RNA, 1965 nt
Organism: Malus domestica (apple)
Lineage: Eukaryota; Viridiplantae; Streptophyta; Magnoliopsida; Rosales; Rosaceae
Source: RefSeq, a predicted model, not a curated record
ACACGACUUGGACCCCGGCGGGCCCCGUACCAAUUGGAAACGUUCAACAAAUCACCACGCCAGAUCUUGGACGGCAAGGCCCACUCCGUUCCUAAAUCCCUUUCCUAAUCGCAUUCCUAAACCUAAUUAGAUUUUAAUUUCGAUAGCUCCCAAAGACUCAAAGUAAAAAGCGUGUGGUCACCACGACGUCGUCUUCUUAAUCUCGCCCCCCCCCCCUCCCAAGCACUCUCUCUCUCUCUCUAGAACUUUCUCUCUCUACAACCCAAAACGAAGGUCAAUAAUUCGGUUCCACCUAACACAGCGAUACCUUUCCUCAUCGCCUUCUUCGCCAUCCUCUCUCUCUCAAGCUUUCUCGCUGUCAUCGAAUUUUUGCCCCUUCGCAAAACCUCUCUCAAGGUUGAUCUAGAAUUUUAAGAAAUCUUUAAUUUGAGAAUGGGUUACUUUGCAACAACUGAUGCUUUCGAUGAUUCUUAAUCGUUCGGCUCAACCCGGUUUGAUUUUCUUUUUAGCAAGAGAGCAUCGGUUAAUUUUCUCAGCGUUGGAGAUGGAUUCCUUUUUCAAUUUCAAAGCUCCAAGUGACGAUUGUGUGCCGUCUGAGCUAGACAUUCUCAAAUGCCCAUUUUUGAGAAACAUCAAUGAGCCCACCAAUUUUUCCUUCGCCUCAUCCUUGGCGUUCCCAGUACCUGGACGUGGAGCCAAAGGUCCAAUAUUUGAAGAUGGUCCCAAUUUUGACAUGGCAUUUCGGCUUUUCCAUGGGAGUGACGGAGUUGUCCCGCUUUCUGGAAAAUCAUAUGUGCAUUCUGACAUAGUUGAGCCUCAACCAGCCCCACCCAUGUUCAAUCCAUUAGCUGCAAAGGCAGCUACGAUCAGUCUCUCAUCCUUUGGUGCUGGAGGGCCAUUCAGUUUCGAUGCAUUCCAUAAGAAAUGGAAGAACCAGCAAAAGAAAUCUAAUUCCUCGAAAAAAGAUUCUACGUCAAAGGGAGGAAAUUCUAAUCACGAGGCAGUGGGCAAUGAGUGGCUACAAUCUGGAAACUGUCCGAUCGCAAAGUCAUACCGUGCUGUUAGUGGUGUCAUUCCACUAGUCGCAAAGGCUUUUCAGCCCCCUCCAGGCAUGAAAAUCAAGUGCCCGCCAGCAAUAGUGCAGCCCGAGCAGCCCUGUCGCGAACUGCAUUUGCAAAGAACCUCCGCCCGCAACCCCUUCCUGCAAAAGUACUUGUGAUUGGAGCGAUGGGCAUGGCAGCCAAUGUUCCUUUAGGGAUAUGGAGAGAGCACACCAAGAAAUUCUCACUAUCUUGGUUCGCCGCUGUGCAUGCGGCUGUCCCAUUCAUAGCCUUACUUCGGAAGUCUGUGCUGAUGCCUAAAUCAGCCAUGGCGUUCACCAUUGCCGCAUCAGUACUUGGACAGGUCAUUGGCUCCAGAGCAGAACGGUACCGUCUGAAGGCAGUGGCUUCGAAAAGUUCACCUCUGACUGAAACCUCCGCUGGUGUUGUGACAACGCAGACAAGCGAGCUACAGGUGCUCCAAGCAAAAACUGAAACCUCUGCUGGUGGUGCGACAACACAGACAAGCGAGCUACAGGUGCUCCAAGCAAAAACCGGCCACUGCAAUGCGAUUGAGGAGUGGAAUUCAGUUUCCCUUCAGGUGGCGCGUCCUUCGUCAUCCGCAGAUGUGUUCUAAUGAUUUGUUUGUAUUUCGAUGGGCACUGAUCGAUCCGUUCCAUCGUUUCUAUGUAUUUGACGGAGUAUAAUUCUCUGUUUGGUUUGUGACUCCAAACACUGUCCAAGUUCUCUGAAGACUUGAGAGAAGAAUAAAUGUAUAAUUCGAAUGACGAUUUUUAUAAGUUGUUUCCUUUCCUUCCAAGUUUUAUGUAUUUGACUAUGACCUGUAUCCAGAGGUGUACUAGUUGUACAAGGUGUUUAGAAAAUAAAGUACUUUGCUUUGAUUUAAAUAUAAUCUUUUCGAUUU